This 253-nucleotide ribosomal RNA is filed under the name uncultured bacterium. RNAcentral's name for it is "partial 16S ribosomal RNA". It matches the Rfam family "Bacterial small subunit ribosomal RNA", at positions 524 to 776 of the family's 1533-position model. The record is from RNAcentral.
UACAGAGGGGGCAAGCGUUAUUCGGAAUUAUUGGGCGUAAAGGGCGCGUAGGCGGCCUUGCAAGUGACGGGUGAAAUCCCUCGGCUUAACCGAGGAACUGCCUGUCAGACUGCAUGGCUUGAGACCGGGAGAGGUGAGUGGAAUUCCCGGUGUAGCAGUGAAAUGCGCAGAUAUCGGGAGGAACACCGGUGGCGAAGGCGGUUCUCUGGGCCUUACCUGACGCUGAGGAGCGAAAGCGUGGGGAGCGAACAGG